GGUGGCUCAGUAGUAGAGUGCUUGCCUUACAUGCAUAAGGUCCUGAGUUCGAUUCCUCAGCACCA
RNAcentral lists this transfer RNA (65 nucleotides) under Dipodomys ordii (Ord's kangaroo rat). It matches the Rfam family "tRNA". From Rfam's summary of the family: Transfer RNA (tRNA) molecules are approximately 80 nucleotides in length. Their secondary structure includes four short double-helical elements and three loops (D, anti-codon, and T loops). Lineage: Eukaryota; Metazoa; Chordata; Mammalia; Rodentia; Heteromyidae. The record is from Rfam by way of RNAcentral.